RNAcentral lists this ribosomal RNA (440 nucleotides) under uncultured bacterium. RNAcentral's name for it is "partial 16S ribosomal RNA". It matches the Rfam family "Bacterial small subunit ribosomal RNA", at positions 338 to 795 of the family's 1533-position model. The record is from RNAcentral.
CCUACGGGUGGCAGCAGUAGGGAAUAUUGCUCAAUGGGGGAAACGCUGAAGCAGCAACGCCGCGUGGGGGAUGAAGGUUCUCGGGUUGUAAACUCCUUUUGGUAGAGAAGAUAAUGACGGUAUCGAACGAAUAAGCAGCGGCUAACUCCGUGCCAGCAGCCGUGGUAAUACGGAGGGUGCAAGCGUUACUCGGAAUAAGUGGGCGUAAAGAGCGCGUAGGCGGGAUAGCAAGUCAGCUGGGAAACCCGAGGGCCUAACCCUAGAACGGCAUUUGAAACUGUUCUUCUAGAGUAUGCGAGGGGUAGGUGGAAUGCUUGGUGUAGGGGUAAAAUGCGUAGAGAUCAAGAGGAAUACUGAUUGCGAAGGCGACCUGCUAGAACAUAACUGACGCUGAUGCGCGAAAGCGUGGGGAGCGAACAGGAUUAGAUACCCUAGUAGUC